This is a long non-coding RNA of Empidonax traillii (willow flycatcher), 823 nucleotides long. RefSeq lists it as uncharacterized. The transcript has 4 exons. NCBI's taxonomy places the organism in Eukaryota, Metazoa, Chordata, Aves, Passeriformes, Tyrannidae. The record is from RefSeq and is a predicted model, not a curated record.
GAUUAUGUCUGUAAUUUAUGGACAUUGUUAAAGGAUAUAUUUUUUCUUGCCCAGUAGCAUAAUCCAUGUGUAUGGAUCUGAUUACUGGAGCACUGAAAGACAAGAUGGCUGUAGGCGGCAUAUCUCUAGAAAUGAGCCUCUUUCCAUAUGGUUUGAUUGUUAUUCAUACUUCCUGGCAGUGGUUAGAAGAGGAGGAUGACUGAGAAUUUAGUAGAUGCCUGGUGGGAUUGACAGUGGUCGUUUGAGGUCAGGGAGUCAGUAGAGAGAGAUUAGGUGGCUGCUGACUCAACGGGGUGAAGCCAAGAGGCCCCCAGCAAAACCACAUCUGUAGCUCCAUACCCUGAAAAUGAGCAUGCCCUUAAUGUCCACAUCCUUCAGACAUCAGGACCACUGAAACUUAGUGGAUUUGUUUAACAGCAUUGACCCACCGGCCUCACUGGAAAAAACAGACCUAACUCUCUCUUUUGGCUUCUUAGUUGGCUUUUCAAGGGAUAAAGAGGUCAUGAAAAUAGACCUUUGUCCCCUUUGCCAAGCCCUGAAGGCCUGCUAGAAGCAUUGGUACUGGUGUUUGUUGUUUGCUGUUAUCUAAGUGGAGCAACUCCAGUAUCACAAAGCUGUGCACGGGUGUCAGGCUCCCUGAGACACAAGGUGUCUGUGCUGCCACUGGAUACGAGCUCUGAGAUAUCUUCAGUGUACCAGGAAAUACCAAGAGUGUUUUGAGACAGCAGAAAAGCAUCUGCUGAGGCUCCUCUGAGCUCUGUUUUCUCUUCUGCCUGCCUCUCCUCUCUGUUAGGUCAGAGGGAGCAAGUGGGAUAGAAAUCCU